Molecule: non-coding RNA, 3027 nt
Organism: Malus domestica (apple)
Lineage: Eukaryota; Viridiplantae; Streptophyta; Magnoliopsida; Rosales; Rosaceae
Source: RefSeq, a predicted model, not a curated record
UUCCAAUAUUUGGCUGAUUUGGAUUCCUAAGAUAAAGGAGGUAUUUGGAUUCCGGAUGGCUUGGGAAUCAGAAUGCUAAUUUUUCUUCCUUUAUGCCCUCACUUACUUUCAUUAUUUCCAAGAUUAUCCUUUUAACCAUAGAGUUAUUUUUCUUUUCACCCAACUCAUUUCUCUCUCAGCCGCAGAACUCUCUCUUCUCUCAACCACAGCUCUCGUCACAAUUACGGAUAGGUAAAUUCCUACUUCUUCUGCGUUUUUAUCUUUGUGAUCAUAGUGCUCGAUGAAUAUCAGCGUUUCGUUGCUCGUUUCUUUCUUCUCCAUGAUGAAUUUUCUUUCCAGGAAUUCGUUCAAUUUUUUCCCCGAUUUUCUUCUCUUUUUUUUUGGUGUGCGAAAAACUUGGACUUUGGACGAGAAAAGCGAAAAAAAAAAGAAUUGAAAUUAAUGAUAAUGUUGUCUGUGCAUGUUCUCGGACGCCUGAGUUGACUUCACUUGUUAGAGAGAGAGAGAGAGAGAGAGAGAGAUUUUCAGUAAAAGUUGGAAACUUUGUUGUUGGUUUUUGGAUUUGUGAAUUGGGUCUGAUUUGUUUUGAUGUUUUUUGUUUUGUAUCUUGUAUUGGGGGGAGUGAUUGGUUGCUGAGAAAAUGUGGGAAAAUGGUGGAUUGAAGUAGAUUGACAUCUGUUGUUCUGUUGCAUAUUCUACAUUUAUGUAAUUUACUUGAGUUAUUUGGUUGUUGGGAACUUAUGGAGCUGAAUGUUGAUUUACAAAUAUUUAUUUUACAGAAUGGAUCUUCUUUUUUUUCAUAGUUAGGUGCAUAAAGAAUCAAAGAUGCAAAAUUUUCUUUUUAUUUGCCGUUUGGAUUUGUUUGACCGUACGCUUAGAUCAGGGACAUCUGGGAUUUGUGUGUUUGAUGAUCUUCUGAAUUGGGUUAUGCAAUUUAUUUAUCCUAUUGGGUUUAGAAAGCUAGGUAUUUGAAGAGCAUAUGAUGCAAGGGUAAAUUCUAGUUGUAUGUCUUAACUUGAAGAAAUUAAUCUGUUAAAUUUAGGCAUAUGUUGAACAAAUUGCAAGUAUUUUAGUUUCUUUUGAUGGGUUGGUGGGAGUUUGCAACGGGGCCUUCCACCAGGGAAGUAAAGGGUUGAGAGAUUGGAUAACUUCCAUGCCUUUCUGGAGGUAUAGUUGUUACUUUUUGGGAUAUAUACAUAUGCAUAUAUGUGUGUGCACGUAAAAAAUUAAUUGCAAAAUUUACCUCUUCCAGACCUUGCGUAAAGCGGGAGCCUUGUGCACUGGGUAUGACUCUUUUUUUUUCUUCAUAUCAGCGGACAUUGAAGUUUCGUUUUUACUGUUGUGCUAGAGGUACAUGGUGGUUAAUAAGCACCAUUCCUUGCAUAGUUGCAUUUUAUAUGGCGAACUCGUUUUUACCAUACAUAACUUGAUCUGGGAGGCAUUUCUCAGUGCUUUAUGGAAAAGGAAAGAGGAUUAUUGUGUUUUAUGUGAAGGGUCUAGUUUCCUAAUCAAUAUAACAUUCCUGGGAAGUGUUUUUGAGAUCAUCUGAUACAAGAUUAUCAUUGUUUGGUAUGAUUUGACUUGUUAAGAAAAAAAUUGAUAUGCAGGAUUAUGUACCUGUGAUCUUUGAAAUGUUGUAUUGUUUAGGAAGAGUACUUUAUCCCCAAUUCUUUAUGCUCACAAAUGUUUAUUAAUCAAAUAUUCAUCAUCUUUAUGACAUUAGGAAGAGUGAGGACAAGGUUGUGGGUUGAGCUCUCUUCAGUGGUUGCAGACUAAUGGCUCGUCUAAGUUUGUCCACAAAGAAGAAAUUACAUGCUAUGUUGAAUGUGUUGAUUGUCUAUCUUCGAACUAUAUUUGUUGCAUGUGCUACUUCUUGUUUCUAUUCUUGGUAUCGUUUCCAAAAACGCCUUAGAAGUCCCUCACCUUGUUAAACAGUUAUAAGAGUUUACAAGCAAUUAGAAUACUUACAUGGUUUAAUUUAUGAGAGUGAUGUGACAUGUAUUGCUGAACUACGAAUGGAUAGACGAUCCUUUCAUAGAUUAUGUCAAGUUCUUGUGACUAGAGGACAUCUACGAGCUACUCGAAAUAUGUCUAUAUAGGAGAUGGUUGCAUUUUUUCUAUACAUUCUUGCACACCAUCUUAAGAAUCGCACAAUUAACCACCACUUUAGAAAGUCUGGUCGAACAAUUAGUAAGUAUUUUCAUGAGUGUAUUAAAGUAAUGAUUCGAUGCCAAAAGGAUUUUUGGCAAACACCUGAGCCUAUCCUUGAGAACUCAACCGACACGAAAAGGAAAUGGUUUAAGGUAUGUAGUAUCUACAUGCCUACACUACUCAGUAAUUACUAGCUUUUUAUUUCAUAGUUUAGUUUGUUAAUUUAAUGUCCUAUAUACUGUAGAAUUGCUUAGGUGCACUAGAUGGAACACCUGUUAAGGUGCAUGUACCAGAAUGUGAUAAACCAAAGUACAGAACAAGGAAAAAUGAAAUAGCAGUGAAGGUUUUGGAAGUCUGCACUCCGGACAUGCAGUUUAUAUAUGUUUUACCUGGAUGGGAAGGGUCCGCACAUGAUGGUCGAGUUCUUAGAGAUGUUGUGACUAGGAGAAAUUGAUUGAAAGUCCCUAAUGGUUGUUACUAUUUAGUUGAUGGUGGCUACACAAACGGAAAAGGUUUUCUUGCACCUUAUAGACGAACCCGUUAUCAUCUGAAUGAGUGGAGAUGAUGAAUGCUAGUUUUUUGCUAUGACGUGCUUGCUGCCAUGAUGAUAUAUCAGGGGAAAUUGUGAAUGUUUUGUAAAUCUAAUGACUGAUUAGAUGGCACCAUGAUGGUGAAGAACUACUUUUUGUUGAUAUUAUGAUGUUUAGGCAGGUUAGGAAUAUUUUGUUGACAAUCUGAUGUGUAGGCAAGUUAUGAAUAUUUUGUUGAUAAUAUGAUGCCUAGGCAGGGUAUGACUAGUUUGCUUAGGUUGGUUAUGAUGGUUGGAUAUAUGUACUUUGAUGUAAAAUAUUAACUUUAAUGAAGUUAUUUCCUUCU